RNAcentral lists this ribosomal RNA (506 nucleotides) under uncultured bacterium. RNAcentral's name for it is "partial 16S ribosomal RNA". It matches the Rfam family "Bacterial small subunit ribosomal RNA", at positions 29 to 523 of the family's 1533-position model. The record is from RNAcentral.
AUUGAACGCUGGCGGCAGGCCUAACACAUGCAAGUCGGGCGGUAGCACAGGAGAGCUUGCUCUCCGGGUGGCGAGCGGCGGACGGGUGAGUAAUGCCUGGGGAUCUGCCCAGUCGAGGGGGAUAACAGUUGGAAACGACUGCUAAUACCGCAUACGCCCUACGGGGGAAAGGAGGGGACCUUCGGGCCUUUCGCGAUUGGAUGAACCCAGGUGGGAUUAGCUAGUUGGUGGGGUAAUGGCUCACCAAGGCGACGAUCCCUAGCUGGUCUGAGAGGAUGAUCAGCCACACUGGAACUGAGACACGGUCCAGACUCCUACGGGAGGCAGCAGUGGGGAAUAUUGCACAAUGGGGGAAACCCUGAUGCAGCCAUGCCGCGUGUGUGAAGAAGGCCUUCGGGUUGUAAAGCACUUUCAGCGAGGAGGAAAGGUUGUUGGCUAAUACCCAGCAACUGUGACGUUACUCGCAGAAGAAGCACCGGCUAACUCCGUGCCAGCCGCCGCGGUAA